GACGUAGGGGGCGAGCGUUGUCCGGAUUUAUUGGGCGUAAAGCGUGCGUAGGCGGCUGCGCAAGUCGGGUGUGAAACCCCGGGGCUCAACCCCGGAACUGCAUCCGAUACUGCGUGGCUAGAGGUAGGUAGGGGAGAUCGGAAUUCCUGGUGUAGCGGUGAAAUGCGCAGAUAUCAGGAGGAACACCGGUGGCGAAGGCGGAUCUCUGGGCCUUACCUGACGCUCAGGCACGAAAGUGUGGGGAGCGAACAGG
This 253-nucleotide ribosomal RNA is filed under the name uncultured bacterium. Its description in RNAcentral is "partial 16S ribosomal RNA". It matches the Rfam family "Bacterial small subunit ribosomal RNA", at positions 524 to 776 of the family's 1533-position model. The record is from RNAcentral.